This 252-nucleotide ribosomal RNA is filed under the name uncultured bacterium. Its description in RNAcentral is "partial 16S ribosomal RNA". It matches the Rfam family "Bacterial small subunit ribosomal RNA", at positions 524 to 776 of the family's 1533-position model. The record is from RNAcentral.
UACGGAGGGGGCGAGCGUUGUCCGAAGUUACUGGGCGUAAAGCGCGUGUAGGCGGGUUGCCAAGUCCGCUGUGAAAGCCCGAGGCUCAACCUCGGAGGGUCGGUGGAUACUGGCAGUCUUGAAGGUGCUAGGGGGAGAUGGAAUUACCGGUGUAGCGGUGAAAUGCGUAGAGAUCGGUAGGAACACCAGUGGCGAAGGCGGUCUCUGGACAGUUCCUGACGCUGAGGCACGAAGGCCAGGGGAGCAAACGGG